CAUAUUUAUUAUAUUAAAUAGACUUCGUUUUUAUUAUAUCUAUUAUAAAUGUAUUUUUUUUUAUAGUAUUUUGUUAGCUAUUUCUUACCUUGUAAAAAUCAAUAAUGGUUUUUGUAUGUUUCUGAUAUCACUACAUUCCCGGUUCCAAAGCACAUAUUACGUAUGUUUACGUAUUAAUGCGAAGAAUGAAGAGGAGAGAGGGGGCAUUUUUUAAUGUUGUCUCAGAUAACAAAACUCCUAUAUCCGGUGCCGAUUUAUAUACAUUAUUUUUUGGCUUCAUAGGACACUUUCCAAGAAAGACGUGGGACCGACAAGUCCAGGAGAGAUCCUCCAAGAAGACAAUUUUUUUAAUGGAUGCGCAUCUAAGAAAAUUAUAUUUUACAAACAUUUUUCGUAUACUUUAAUAAAAUCCAAACAUUAAAUAAUUUUUCAACUGCCAUGGCUAGGGAAUGAGUGAUGAGAAUGCAAAAGAUGCGGUAUUAAUCCCGGAUUUAUUAUAUAUUUAUGUCGCUAUUAUUUAUAAAAAUCAUAACGCCGACACUCGAUAAUGGAGGAGAAAACCGUGAUGGUAGCUGUAAACCAUUGAAAAUGCUUAUAAUUCAAACUCUGCCAAUCACAAUUUCCAUCUCUUAUUCAUUUCUAUUGCACUUUAUUCAUAUUUUAUUAUACUUUAUAUUAUUUCUUUGUUCAAUAAACAUGUUUUAAACACUUUAUUGAGUUCUCCUCUAUCAAAUUCAGAGGGUUUUUUACUGCAUAUAUUCUGCAUAUUUUACCUUUUGUUACUGCAUAUUUUAUG
This 796-nucleotide long non-coding RNA is filed under the name Androctonus crassicauda. The record is from RNAcentral. Lineage: Eukaryota; Metazoa; Arthropoda; Arachnida; Scorpiones; Buthidae.